UACGGGAGGCAGCAGUGGGGAAUAUUGCACAAUGGGCGCAAGCCUGAUGCAGCCAUGCCGCGUGUAUGAAGAAGGCCUUCGGGUUGUAAAGUACUUUCAGCGGGGAGGAAGGCGAUGUGGUUAAUAACCGCGUCGAUUGACGUUACCCGCAGAAGAAGCACCGGCUAACUCCGUGCCAGCAGCCGCGGUAAUACGGAGGGUGCAAGCGUUAAUCGGAAUUACUGGGCGUAAAGCGCACGCAGGCGGUCUGUUAAGUCAGAUGUGAAAUCCCCCGGGCUUAACCCUGGGAACUGCAUUUUGAAACUGGCAGGCUUGAGUCUCGUAGAGGGGGUAGAAUUCCAGGUGUAGCGGUGAAAUGCGUAGAGAUCUGGAGGAAUACCGGUGGCGAAGGCGGGCCCCCUGGACGAAGACUGACGCUCAGGUGCGAAAGCGUGGGGAGCAAACCAGGAUUAGGAUACC
Molecule: ribosomal RNA, 459 nt
Filed under: uncultured bacterium
Lineage: Bacteria
Description: bacterial SSU rRNA
Rfam family: Bacterial small subunit ribosomal RNA
Source: RNAcentral